RNAcentral lists this unclassified non-coding RNA (353 nucleotides) under soil metagenome. RNAcentral's name for it is "partial contains 5.8S ribosomal RNA, internal transcribed spacer 2, and large subunit ribosomal RNA". The stretch from base 1 to 120 matches the Rfam family "5.8S ribosomal RNA", at positions 35 to 154 of the family's 154-position model. The record is from RNAcentral.
GAUGAAGAACGCAGCGAAAUGCGAUAAGUAAUGUGAAUUGCAGAAUUCAGUGAAUCAUCGAAUCUUUGAACGCACAUUGCGCCCUCUGGUAUUCCGGGGGGCAUGCCUGUCCGAGCGUCAUUUCAACCCUCGAACCCCUCCGGGGGGUCGGCGUUGGGGAUCGGCCCUUUCACCGGGUGCCGGCCCCUAAAUACAGUGGCGGUCUCGCCGCAGCCUCUCAUGCGCAGUAGUUUGCACACUCGCACCGGGAGCGCGGCGCGUCCUCGUCCGUAAAACACCCCAAACUUCUGAAAUGUUGACCUCGGAUCAGGUAGGAAUACCCGCUGAACUUAAGCAUAUCAAUAAGCGGAGGA